AUGUCCCGCUACGGCCGCAGCAUCAAGAUCACCGCGAAGGGUGGCAGCUCCGUGUAUGCCAAGGUGGUGGACGAGUGCGACUCUGUCCACGGUUGCGACGCUGAGCACAACUACGAGGAGCCAUGCGCCUACAACGUCGUCGACGCCUCGCCGGCGGUGUGGGACGCCCUGGGCCUCGACCAGAACAUCGGUUUGCAGGAUGUCACCUGGUCUGAUGAGUAA
Molecule: ribosomal RNA, 222 nt
Filed under: Triticum aestivum (bread wheat)
Lineage: Eukaryota; Viridiplantae; Streptophyta; Magnoliopsida; Poales; Poaceae
Description: partial small subunit ribosomal RNA
Source: RNAcentral